GGACUACCGGGGUAUCUAAUCCUGUUUGCUCCCCACGCUUUCGCGCCUCAGCGUCAGUUACAGACCAGAAAGUCGCCUUCGCCACUGGUGUUCCUCCAAAUCUCUACGCAUUUCACCGCUACACUUGGAAUUCCACUUUCCUCUUCUGCACUCAAGUUUCCCAGUUUCCAAUGACCCUCCCCGGUUGAGCCGGGGGCUUUCACAUCAGACUUAAGAAACCGCCUGCGCGCGCUUUACGCCCAAUAAUUCCGGACAACGCUUGCCACCUACGUAUUACCGCGGCUGCUGGCAC
Molecule: ribosomal RNA, 292 nt
Filed under: uncultured bacterium
Lineage: Bacteria
Description: partial 16S ribosomal RNA
Source: RNAcentral